GAGUUUGAUCCUGGCUCAGAUUGAACGCUGGCGGCAGGCCUAACACAUGCAAGUCGAACGGUAACAGGAAGCAGCUUGCUGCUUUGCUGACGAGUGGCGGACGGGUGAGUAAUGUCUGGGAAACUGCCUGAUGGAGGGGGAUAACUACUGGAAACGGUAGCUAAUACCGCAUAACGUCGCAAGACCAAAGAGGGGGACCUUCGGGCCUCUUGCCAUCGGAUGUGCCCAGAUGGGAUUAGCUAGUAGGUGGGGUAAAGGCUCACCUAGGCGACGAUCCCUAGCUGGUCUGAGAGGAUGACCAGCCACACUGGAACUGAGACACGGUCCAGACUCCUACGGGAGGCAGCAGUGGGGAAUAUUGCACAAUGGGCGCAAGCCUGAUGCAACCAUGCCGCGUGUAUGAAGAAGGCCUUCGGGUUGUAAAGUACUUUCAGCGGGGAGGAAGGGAGUAAAGUUAAUACCUUUGCUCAUUGACGUUACCCGCAGAAGAAGCACCGGCUAACUCCGUGCCAGCAGCCGCGGUAAUACGGAGGGUGCAAGCGUUAAUCGGAAUUACUGGGCGUAAAGCGCACGCAGGCGGUUUGUUAAGUCAGAUGUGAAAUCCCCGGGCUCAACCUGGGAACUGCAUCUGAUACUGGCAAGCUUGAGUCUCGUAGAGGGGGGUAGAAUUCCAGGUGUAGCGGUGAAAUGCGUAGAGAUCUGGAGGAAUACCGGUGGCGAAGGCGGCCCCCUGGACGAAGACUGACGCUCAGGUGCGAAAGCGUGGGGAGCAAACAGGAUUAGAUACCCUGGUAGUCCACGCAGUAAACGAUGAUAACUCGCUGUCGGCGAUACACAGUCGGUGGCCAAGCGAAAGCGAUAAGUUAUCCACCUGGGGAGUACGUUCGCAAGAAUGAAACUCAAAGGAAUUGACGGGGGCCCGCACAAGCGGAAGAACAUGUGGUUUAAUUCGAUGAUACGCGAGGAACCUUACCCGGGCUUGAAAGUUACUGACGAUUCUGGAAACAGGAUUUCCCUUCGGGGCAGGAAACUAGGUGCUGCAUGGUUGUCGUCAGCUCGUGCCGUGAGGUGUCGGGUUAAGUCCCAUAACGAGCGCAACCCCUACCGUUAGUUGCCAUCAGGUCAAGCUGGGCACUCUGGCGGGACUGCCGGUGUAAGCCGAGAGGAAGGUGGGGAUGACGUCAAAUCAGCACGGCCCUUACGUCCGGGGCUACACACGUGUUACAAUGGUAGGUACAGAGGGCAGCUACCCAGCGAUGGGGUGCAAAUCUCGAAAACCUAUCUCAGUUCGGAUUGGAGGCUGAAACUCGCCUCCAUGAAGUUGGAUUCGCUAGUAAUCGCGCAUCAGCCAUGGCGCGGUGAAUACGUUCCCGGGCCUUGUACACACCGCCCGUCAAGCCAUGGAAGCUGGGGGUGCCUGAAGUUCGUGACCGCAAGGAGCGACCUAGGGCAAAACCGGUGACUGGGGCUAAGUCGUAACAAGGUAGCCGUAG
Molecule: ribosomal RNA, 1493 nt
Filed under: uncultured bacterium
Lineage: Bacteria
Description: partial 16S ribosomal RNA
Rfam family: Bacterial small subunit ribosomal RNA
Source: RNAcentral